This 833-nucleotide ribosomal RNA is filed under the name Vibrio sp. RNAcentral's name for it is "bacterial SSU rRNA". It matches the Rfam family "Bacterial small subunit ribosomal RNA", at positions 237 to 1062 of the family's 1533-position model. Lineage: Bacteria; Pseudomonadati; Pseudomonadota; Gammaproteobacteria; Vibrionales; Vibrionaceae. The record is from RNAcentral.
GGGAUUAGCUAGUUGGUGAGGUAAGGGCUCACCAAGGCGACGAUCCCUAGCUGGUCUGAGAGGAUGAUCAGCCACACUGGAACUGAGACACGGUCCAGACUCCUACGGGAGGCAGCAGUGGGGAAUAUUGCACAAUGGGCGCAAGCCUGAUGCAGCCAUGCCGCGUGUGUGAAGAAGGCCUUCGGGUUGUAAAGCACUUUCAGUCGUGAGGAAGGUAGUGUAGUUAAUAGCUGCAUUAUUUGACGUUAGCGACAGAAGAAGCACCGGCUAACUCCGUGCCAGCAGCCGCGGUAAUACGGAGGGUGCGAGCGUUAAUCGGAAUUACUGGGCGUAAAGCGCAUGCAGGUGGUUUGUUAAGUCAGAUGUGAAAGCCCGGGGCUCAACCUCGGAAUUGCAUUUGAAACUGGCAGACUAGAGUACUGUAGAGGGGGGUAGAAUUUCAGGUGUAGCGGUGAAAUGCGUAGAGAUCUGAAGGAAUACCGGUGGCGAAGGCGGCCCCCUGGACAGAUACUGACACUCAGAUGCGAAAGCGUGGGGAGCAAACAGGAUUAGAUACCCUGGUAGUCCACGCCGUAAACGAUGUCUACUUGGAGGUUGUGGCCUUGAGCCGUGGCUUUCGGAGCUAACGCGUUAAGUAGACCGCCUGGGGAGUACGGUCGCAAGAUUAAAACUCAAAUGAAUUGACGGGGGCCCGCACAAGCGGUGGAGCAUGUGGUUUAAUUCGAUGCAACGCGAAGAACCUUACCUACUCUUGACAUCCAGAGAACUUUCCAGAGAUGGAUUGGUGCCUUCGGGAACUCUGAGACAGGUGCUGCAUGGCUGUCGUCAGCUCG